This is a non-coding RNA of Paramormyrops kingsleyae, 169 nucleotides long. Lineage: Eukaryota; Metazoa; Chordata; Actinopteri; Osteoglossiformes; Mormyridae. The record is from RefSeq and is a predicted model, not a curated record.
CGAGAGUUCAGACUAAACCAUUUUAAUGGAGGGUAGCGGUUCUCCAGGCUGACAGCUCUAAGUCCAGCUGGGUGUUGGCAGGUGCUCAAGCAGAUAUAAAUACCUGGAUCUCAUCCCAUUCUGUGAGGUCUGCAAUGAAUGCAGGAGUACUCUGCCAGGCAAUGUUAAG